Molecule: ribosomal RNA, 199 nt
Filed under: uncultured bacterium
Lineage: Bacteria
Description: partial 16S ribosomal RNA
Rfam family: Bacterial small subunit ribosomal RNA
Source: RNAcentral
CAGGCUGCAACCCGCCUGCAUGAAGUCGGAAUUGCUAGUAAUCGCGGAUCAGCAUGCCGCGGUGAAUACGUUCCCGGGCCUUGUGCACACCGCCCGUCACACCAUGGGAGCCGGUAAUACCCGAAGUCAGUAGUUCAACCUCGUGAGGACGCUGCCGAAGGUAGGAUUGGCGACUGGGGUGAAGUCGUAACAAGGUAAC